This is a long non-coding RNA of Canis lupus familiaris (dog), 4422 nucleotides long. RefSeq lists it as uncharacterized. The transcript has 9 exons. The record is from RefSeq and is a predicted model, not a curated record. NCBI's taxonomy places the organism in Eukaryota, Metazoa, Chordata, Mammalia, Carnivora, Canidae.
GGCAAAGCAGGCCCCAGGGCUCCAGGAGCCAAGUCUGCAACUACCCUGGGCUCCCCUGAAGGACUCCCUCGGAGCCUUUGGGCUUCAUCCUCGCAGGCGGUGCCCAUCCGAGAGCACCUGCGCGGCUGGCUCCCCGGGAGCCGCGGGGGUCGGAGGAUCCCGCACUGCCCCGCGUCCCGCUCCUGGGGCCCCCGCCUGCCCUCGCACCUGGCUGGAACCAGAAACUUGUGCUGGGAGGAGGUGCCCAAAGACCAUAUCUGGAUUUGGCACACCUGGAUUUAAGAUGAGCCCCCUUCCUGACCCUUCCACUGGCUUGCAGGCAGAUGUAUCGGAAGAUUAAAUAUUAAAAAGUAACAUGCAAGAAAAUAACCAGCUGUAUACGACCUUUCAGAAUCGACCACAGAAAUGACUAUUACAUCACAUCAUUCCAGAAAGCUUUUUGUGCAUAGUUAAAGAAAGGAAGAGAGAUCACAGAGAUACUUUACAAGAAUUGGAGCAAAAUGCAGAUGCUAUUUUAUUUUAUUUUAUUAUUGAUUUAUGAUAGUCUUACAGAGAGAGAGAGAGAGAGGCAGAGACAUAGGCAGAGGGAGAAGAAGCAGGCUCCAUGCACCGGGAGCCCGACGUGGGAUUCGAUCUCGGGUCUCCAGGAUCGCGCCCUGGGCCAAAGGCAGGCGCCAAACCACUGGACCACCCGGGGAUCCCCAGAUGCUAUUUUAAUUUGAAGUAUGACGUUUAAUUUUACUUGAAACUGAAGGAAGAGUUGACCUUUCAAGUCAUGUUUCUUGACCACAAUUACCACCUUACUUGUUGAAAGGUACCUCUGAGAGUAAACAAAAAUGGUGAAAAGCAUUAAGAUAUUCAGUCAUUUUUUUUAAAUGAUACAUUUGAAUUGUGUGUGUACGCACACGUGCAUGAUCCUUUCCACUUGCCAAUCUCCCUUGCCCUGCCUCCUGACUUUUGUUACUUAUUUAAUAUUGUUACAUUGUCCAGGAUUAUAAGAAACAUAUUCUGUUCUGUAGAAAUAUAAUUGCAGUUACUUGGUAUACAUUGUAGAUUUAAAUGCAUUCCAAGCCUUUUAUCAAGGAUUCUCCAUUGCAAGCUCUUCAUUUCAAUUCAUCUCUUCAUGGACUGAGUUUCAUCGCUAAGCUGUUUUAUCAAGAAGAGUUUUGGAUGUUUAAGAAUGCCUGCCUGUUGCCUGUACACUGGAACCAGAUCUUGGCCAGGCUCAUGGAACCCCUGCCUCCCUGAGUUGGAAGCAUCUCUGCUCUUCCAAGGUGCUUGUGACCAAAGAAGAUUCUCUGGAAAAAAAAAAUAUGUCAAUUGUUCAGUAACCAGAGAGCUAUGGCCUAAGUGAAGGACUUCAAAUGGUCACAUGGUAGAGAGGCCAGGUGAUGUGCAGCUGGCCAGCCAGCCUUUUCCAGCAUGGCUUUCAGCCCUGAAGGCUGAACGGAUGGGACACAAGCAGGUGAGUGGAAGCCCCACCUGGGGACACACUAGAGAGAUGAGAAGUUAAAAUGUUGUGCUUGUUGGGGAAAAUGUGACCUUCAAAGAGAAUGAGGGAGAUUCGAGAGAGGACACAUGCUUCAUGCUGGCCAAGGCAUUUAAGGAAGUAAGCCAUCAGGACAGGAGACAGCUAACUAGGGAGAAGCAAAUCCACAUGCAGAGUGAUGGUUUUCUUUUGUUUCUUUUUUUAAAGAGAUUUUAUUUAUUCAUGAGAGACACACAGAGAGAGGCAGAGACACAGGCAGAGGGAGAAACGGGCUCCCUAGAGCCUAAUGCGGGACUCGAUCCCAGGACCUCAGGAUCAUACCCUGAGCCAAAGGCAGAUGCUCAACCACUGAGCCACUCAAGAGUCCCCAGAGUGAUGGCUUUCAACUCGGGCCCAGAAGAGCCAUGAAGAAGGGUGGAGAGGAGAAUGGGUCCAGUUGGAGGGGCUGUACCCCCUCCCCACAGACAGCUCCAUUCCAUCUGCCAUAUAUGAUGGGCUUUCACUUCAAGGAAGGGUUCCUCUGCAACUAAAAAUAAGCCUGGAAACCACACCUCUGGUGAGAAUCCAUUCAGAGGGACAAACUGGAUCUGGAAAGGGCUGCUGCUGAAAGGAAUCCAGAGGAAUCAGUGAGUCUGAGUCAAGAUAGCUGAGAGGUAAGGUUUUACCUGCAACCAAGGGGUUGGCCAGGGAAAAUAGAGGCAGGAGUUCAAGGAAACUGACAGAAAUUACUCUAAGUUGAAUUCAGAAUAGAAAUAAAAACAAAUUAGCAAUAAAGAACAGACACACACAAGAAUGAGGCCAUCUGACUGAAGAAUGAAAAUAGAACUAAGGAUCUGGUUAAUGUACAAAACCCAAUCUAGGGACACCUGGGUGGCUCAGUGGUUGAGCAUCUCCCUUUGGUUCAGCUCAUGAUCCUGGGGUCUUUGGAUGAGUCUCGCAUCGGGCUCCCCACAGGGAGCCUGCUUCUCCCCCUGCCUCUGUCUCUGCCUCUCAUGAAUAAAUAAAUAAAAUCUAAAAAAAAAAAAAAAAACAAUCUAGAUGAACUGAUGGACAAGAGGCCAAAGCCCCAUAACUCAGCCGUUUGGUUCAUAUUACUGCUCUACUGAGUAUUCCUUCAUGCUCGCAUAAAAUAGAAGCUCUUAGGAAAGCAGACAAAGCUUUGAGGGGACACUCCUCCAUUCCUUGGUGUGUGACAGAGCUUCUGCUACAGGAUGGGGGGCCCAUUGGUUCAGGACCUGCAUGGGCAGGAUGGUGGAGUAAUCAGAAUAAUGAUCUCCCCAAAGAUAUCCCUCUCCUAAUCCUAGAACCUGUAAAUAUAUUCCCCUACAAACCAAACGGGAUUUUGCAAAUGUGAUUAAGUUAAGGAUCUUGAGACAGAGAAAUUAUCUUGGAUUAUCCAGAUGGGCCCAAUGUAAUCAUGAGUCUUGCUAGAGGGAGUCAGGAAUGUCAAAGAGAGAUGUCACAAUGGAAGCAGAGAUCAGAAUUAAUGCAGCCACAAGGCAAGGAAUUCAGACAGCUUCUAGAACAGGCAGGGAGAUGUGCUCAACCCUACACCCUGCAAAAGGACCACACUCAGCCCUGCCAACAGAAAUUUUAACCCAGAAAGACUGCGUUGGGCUCUAGAACCAUAUAACAGCAAAUUUGCGUUGUGUAAAGCCACACUGUUGUAAUUUUACAGCAGUAGGCCCACCACUUGUCAGAUUUAGGAAUGAAGCUUAUCAGAAGACAAAGCAUGAUUUCAGAGUCACAGCCUGUGUGCAUUCAGUUGGCCUCCAGAAUCUUGGGGUUCUAGGUCUCAGCUAAUGUCCUGUUCCUUCUCUGUGUGGCUCAGCAAUCCUGAGGAAAGCCUGCUGGUGAAUCCCUGAUGUCCCACCCUGGGUCUCACCCUCCCAACAUUAACUGAGGGCCUACUGUGUGCUGGAGCCACAGGGAUACAGCAGGAGUACUUCUUGCCCUCACAGCAGAGUCAGAGAAAUCCAGACAGGAAACAGCAACACCAUUUUCUUCUUCUUGCAAGACAGAAACUGUGGAGUCAUCUUUGAAUGUUCACGUUUCCUCACCUCUGUAGGAUGUGUGGCCAAAUCCUGCAUCCUCAGAAACUUCUGCACAGCCGGGCUCUCUUUUCCCUCCCUCCUGCCUCUGCUCUAGUCCAGGGCUUUUCCAGCUCCCAAUCUGUCUCCUCAACAUGACUCUCUCGAGCUCAUCACCCACACUACUACCUGAUGGCUUCCUCAAAACCACGCUGGCCACAUAUUGGCUGCUGGCUGCCCAGAGAGAACGACUUUGAAGAGUAUCAUGAUGUGCAAGGCAGAUGAGAUCCUGCCUUCAAGGGGCUCAGAGUCUGGAGACAGGCAGUGAGCAGAAGAGGAUUUAUCUGCAAGAUUUCAGAUAAAGGAUUUUAUUAACACAUUUCUAUAAAGCAGCAGCUGGAAGGAUGAAUGCUUAUGUAUGAAGCAGAGUGCAUGAAGACCAGAACCCUCACAGAGAGGACUACAUCCACCUAUUCACACACCCUCCCUGCCUCUGGACUCAGAGACCACCGAUGCCACAUAGAGCAAGCAUCAGAAGAGGAGCUAAAAGCCAGAGGUUAACUGGCCACCUACAUAUUGAAUACUUCUCCCUAUCCAUCUUUCCAAGCAAGUGUGGAUCAGGGUUAAUUUUAAAAGAUCCACACCUGGACAUUUCAUAGUGAUAUGCCAAAGCUAUAAGGAUAAAGAAAAUAUACUAAAAGCUCCCUUAAAUGAAAAGAAAAAAGUCUCCAUACAAGAAAAUGUCAGAAUGGCAUUAGACUUCUCAAUAGUAACAUUGGUUGCUUGGAAGAAAAUGGAGCAUGUCUUCAAAGUUCUCAUGGAAAACUAUUUCAACCCAGAAUUCUAUACCAAGUGAACCUGUCAGUUCAGCAUAAGGGAGAAUAAAGAAAUGUUCAGACAUUU